AAAUUGAAGAGUUUGAUCAUGGCUCAGAUUGAACGCUGGCGGCAGGCCUAACACAUGCAAGUCGAACGGUAACAGAAAGCAGCUUGCUGCUUUGCUGACGAGUGGCGGACGGGUGAGUAAUGUCUGGGAAACUGCCCGAUGGAGGGAUAACUACUGGAAACGGUAGCUAAUACCGCAUAACGUCGCAAGACCAAAGAGGGGGACCUUCGGGCCUCUUGCCAUCGGAUGUGCCCAGAUGGGAUUAGCUAGUAGGUGGGGUAACGGCUCACCUAGGCGACGAUCCCUAGCUGGUCUGAGAGGAUGACCAGCCACACUGGAACUGAGACACGGUCCAGACUCCUACGGGAGGCAGCAGUGGGGAAUAUUGCACAAUGGGCGCAAGCCUGAUGCAGCCAUGCCGCGUGUAUGAAGAAGGCCUUCGGGUUGUAAAGUACUUUCAGCGGGGAGGAAGGGAGUAAAGUUAAUACCUUUGCUCAUUGACGUUACCCGCAGAAGAAGCACCGGCUAACUCCGUGCCAGCAGCCGCGGUAAUACGGAGGGUGCAAGCGUUAAUCGGAAUUACUGGGCGUAAAGCGCACGCAGGCGGUUUGUUAAGUCAGAUGUGAAAUCCCCGGGCUCAACCUGGGAACUGCAUCUGAUACUGGCAAGCUUGAGUCUCGUAGAGGGGGGUAGAAUUCGGGUGUAGCGGUGAAAUGCGUAGAGAUCUGGAGGAAUACCGGUGGCGAGGCGGCCCCCGGACGAAGACUGACGCUCAGGUGCGAAAGCGUGGGGAGCAAACAGGAUUAGAUACCACUGGUAGUCCACGCCGUAAACGAUGUCGACUUGGAGGUUGUGCCCUUGAGGCGUGGCUUCCGGAGCUAACGCGUUAAGUCGACCGCACAGGGGAGUACGGCCGCAAGGUUAAAACUCAAAUGAAUUGACGGGGGCCCGCACAAGCGGUGGAGCAUGUGGUUUAAUUCGAUGCAACGCGAAGAACCUUACGGUCUUGACAUCCACGGAAGUUUUCAGAGAUGAGAAUGUGCCUUCGGGAACCGUGAGACAGGUGCUGCAUGGCUGUCGUCAGCUCGUGUUGUGAAAUGUUGGGUUAAGUCCCGCAACGAGCGCAACCCUUAUCCUUUGUUGCCAGCGGUCCGGCCGGGAACUCAAAGGAGACUGCCAGUGAUAAACUGGAGGAAGGUGGGGAUGACGUCAAGUCAUCAUGGCCCCUUACGACCGGGGCUACACGUGCUACAAUGGCGCAUACAAAGAGAAGCGACCUCGCGAGAGCAAGCGGACCUCAUAAAAGUGCGUCGUAGUCCGGAUUGGAGUCUGCAACUCGACUCCAUGAAGUCGGAAUCGCUAGUAAUCGUGGAUCAGAAUGCCACGGUGAAUACGUUCCCGGGCCUUGUACACACCGCCCGUCACACCAUGGGAGUGGGUUGCAAAAGAAGUAGGUAGCUUAACCUUCGGGAGGGCGCUUACCACUUUGUGAUUCAUGACUGGGGUGAAGUCGUAACAAGGUAACCGUAGGGAACCUGCGGUUGGAUCACCUCCUUACCUUAAAGAAGC
This 1548-nucleotide ribosomal RNA is filed under the name Escherichia coli. RNAcentral describes it as "bacterial SSU rRNA". It matches the Rfam family "Bacterial small subunit ribosomal RNA". The record is from RNAcentral. Lineage: Bacteria; Pseudomonadati; Pseudomonadota; Gammaproteobacteria; Enterobacterales; Enterobacteriaceae.